AACGAACGCUGGCGGCAUGCCUAACACAUGCAAGUCGAACGAGACCUUCGGGUCUAGUGGCGCACGGGUGCGUAACGCGUGGGAACCUGCCUUUAGGUUCGGAAUAACUCAGAGAAAUUUGAGCUAAUACCGGAUGAUGUCUUCGGACCAAAGAUUUAUCGCCUUUAGAUGGGCCCGCGUUGGAUUAGCUAGUUGGUGGGGUAAAGGCCUACCAAGGCGACGAUCCAUAGCUGGUCUGAGAGGAUGAUCAGCCACACUGGGACUGAGACACGGCCCAGACUCCUACGGGAGGCAGCAGUGGGGAAUAGUGGACAAUGGGCGAAAGCCUGAUCCAGCAAUGCCGCGUGAGUGAUGAAGGCCUUAGGGUUGUAAAGCUCUUUUACCCGAGAUGAUAAUGACAGUAUCGGGAGAAUAAGCGCCGGCUAACUCCGUG
RNAcentral lists this ribosomal RNA (433 nucleotides) under uncultured bacterium. RNAcentral describes it as "partial 16S ribosomal RNA". It matches the Rfam family "Bacterial small subunit ribosomal RNA", at positions 29 to 507 of the family's 1533-position model. The record is from RNAcentral.